AAGAAACCGGCGGAAGAGAAGAAGACGGUAGCGGAGAAAGCUCCGGCAGAGAAAAAGCCGAAGGCCGGCAAAAAGCUACCUAAAGAAGGCGGCGCAGUGGCUGCGGACAAGAAGAAGAAGCGCACGAAGAAGAGCAUAGAAACUUACAAGAUCUACAUCUUCAAGGUUCUGAAGCAAGUGCACCCUGAUAUAGGGAUCUCUAGCAAGGCCAUGGGCAUAAUGAACUCUUUUAUCAACGAUAUCUUCGAGAAGCUUGCACAGGAAUCCUCGAGACUUGCUAGGUACAACAAGAAACCCACUAUUACUUCGAGGGAGAUACAGACUGCAGUGAAAUUGGUGCUUCCUGGGGAGUUGGCUAAGCACGCUGUUUCUGAGGGUACCAAGGCUGUUACCAAGUUUACUAGUUCUUGAAUUAGGUGUAGCGUUUUAGGUGGUUUGGGUUUCGUGAUUAAAUGGUAAAAUUAGGAUAUUUUCUUCGUUUAGAGUCGGUUAGUUUUCCCUUUUUAGAGUGAGCAGUGUGGCUGUAAUGAUAUAUUCACAAGUGAUAUGAAUGAAUUAUAGUACGGAUCAAAAAAAAAAAGGGAAAACU
This 589-nucleotide unclassified non-coding RNA is filed under the name Hevea brasiliensis (rubber tree). The record is from RNAcentral. Lineage: Eukaryota; Viridiplantae; Streptophyta; Magnoliopsida; Malpighiales; Euphorbiaceae.